RNAcentral lists this ribosomal RNA (1235 nucleotides) under metagenome. RNAcentral's name for it is "bacterial LSU rRNA". It matches the Rfam family "Bacterial large subunit ribosomal RNA", at positions 1673 to 2925 of the family's 2925-position model. The record is from RNAcentral.
AGAGAAUACCGAGGGGCGCGAGAUAACUCUCUCUAAGGAACUCGGCAAAAUGGCCCCGUAACUUCGGGAGAAGGGGUGCCACCGCAAGGUGGUCGCAGUGAAGAGGCCCAGGCGACUGUUUACCAAAAACACAGGUCUCCGCUAAGUCGCAAGACGAUGUAUGGGGGCUGACGCCUGCCCAGUGCCGGAAGGUUAAGGAAGCUGGUCAGCGUAAGCGAAGCUGGCGACUGAAGCCCCGUGAACGGCGGCCGUAACUAUAACGGUCCUAAGGUAGCGAAAUUCCUUGUCGGGUAAGUUCCGACCCGCACGAAAGGCGUAACGAUCUGGGCGCUGUCUCGGAGAGAGGCUCGGCGAAAUAGAAUUGUCUGUGAAGAUGCGGACUACGUGCACCCGGACAGAAAGACCCUAUGAAGCUUUACUGUAGCUUGGUAUUGUGCCCGGGCUCUGAAUGCGCAGGAUAGGUGGGAGGCUUUGAUCCAUUGCUUGUGGGUGAUGGUGAGCCAACGGUGAGAUACCACUCUUUCAGAGCUAGGGUUCUAACGGUCACCCGUCAUCCGGGGACCGGACAGUAUCAGGUGGGCAGUUUGACUGGGGCGGUCGCCUCCUAAAGGUAACGGAGGCGCGCAAAGGUUCCCUCAGGCUGGUUGGAAAUCAGCCGACGAGUGUAAAGGCAGAAGGGAGCUUGACUGUGAGACCUACAAGUCGAACAGGGACGAAAGUCGGCCUUAGUGAUCCGACGGUUCUGAGUGGAAGGGCCGUCGCUCAACGGAUAAAAGUUACUCUAGGAUAACAGGCUGAUCUCCCCCAAGAGUUCACAUCGACGGGGAGGUUUGGCACCUCGAUGUCGGCUCAUCGCAACCUGGGGCUGAAGUCGGUCCCAAGGGUUGGGCUGUUCGCCCAUUAAAGCGGUACACGAGCUGGGUUCAGAACGUCGUGAGACAGUUCGGUCCAUAUCCGGUGCAUGCGCAGGAAUAUUGAGAGGAUUUCUCCCUAGUACGAGAGGACCGGGAGGAACGCACCUCUGGUGUGCCAGUUAUCGUGCCAACGGUAAACGCUGGGUAGCCAUGUGCGGAGAGGAUAACCGCUGAAACAUCUAAGUGGGAAGCCCACCUCAAGAUGAGUAUUCCCAUGGCGUUAGCCAGUAAGGUCACGGGAAGAACACCCGUUGAUAGGCUCUACGUGGAAGCCGGGUAACCGGCGAAGCGGAGGAGUACUAAUAGACCGAGGGCUUGACC